Molecule: transfer RNA, 70 nt
Filed under: Opsarius ardens
Lineage: Eukaryota; Metazoa; Chordata; Actinopteri; Cypriniformes; Danionidae
Description: tRNA-Trp
Rfam family: tRNA
About the family: Transfer RNA (tRNA) molecules are approximately 80 nucleotides in length. Their secondary structure includes four short double-helical elements and three loops (D, anti-codon, and T loops).
Source: RNAcentral
AGGAACUUAGGAUAACUAAGACCAAGAGCCUUCAAAGCUCUAAGUAGGGGUGAAAAACCCCUAGUCCCUG